Molecule: ribosomal RNA, 505 nt
Filed under: uncultured bacterium
Lineage: Bacteria
Description: bacterial SSU rRNA
Rfam family: Bacterial small subunit ribosomal RNA
Source: RNAcentral
AGUGAACGCUGGCGGCAGGCCUAAUACAUGCAAGUCGAACGGCAGCACAGCAGAGCUUGCUCUGUGGGUGGCGAGUGGCGGACGGGUGAGGAAUACAUGGGAAUCUGCCCAGUCGUGGGGGAUAACGUAGGGAAACUUACGCUAAUACCGCAUGCGCCCUUCGGGGAAAGCCGGGGACCUUCGGGCCUGGCGCGAUUGGAUGAGCCCAUGUCGGAUUAGCUAGUUGGCGGGGUAAUGGCCCACCAAGGCGACGAUCCGUAGCUGGUCUGAGAGGAUGAUCAGCCACACUGGAACUGAGACACGGUCCAGACUCCUACGGGAGGCAGCAGUAGGGAAUAUUGGACAAUGGGCGCAAGCCUGAUCCAGCCAUGCCGCGUGAGUGAAGAAGGCCCUCGGGUUGUAAAGCUCUUUUGUCCGGAAAGAAAAGCGCCGGGUUAAUACCCUGGUGUCCUGACGGUACCGGAAGAAUAAGCACCGGCUAACUUCGUGCCAGCAGCCGCGGUAA